RNAcentral lists this ribosomal RNA (537 nucleotides) under uncultured bacterium. RNAcentral's name for it is "bacterial SSU rRNA". It matches the Rfam family "Bacterial small subunit ribosomal RNA", at positions 37 to 619 of the family's 1533-position model. The record is from RNAcentral.
UGGCGGCAGGCUUAACACAUGCAAGUCGAACGCCCCCGCAAGGGGGAGUGGCAGACGGGUGAGUAACACGUGGGAACAUACCCUUCGGUUCGGAACAACGUUUGGAAACGGACGCUAAUACCGGAUACGGCCUUUCGGGCGAAAGAUUGAUCGCCGAAGGAUUGGCCCGCGUUCGAUUAGCUUGAUGGCGGGGUAACGGCCCACCAUGGCGACGAUCGAUAGCUGGUCUGAGAGGAUGGCCAGCCACAUUGGGACUGAGACACGGCCCAAACUCCUACGGGAGGCAGCAGUGGGGAAUAUUGGACAAUGGGCGCAAGCCUGAUCCAGCCAUGCCGCGUGAGUGAUGACGGCCUUAGGGUUGUAAAGCUCUUUCGCACGCGACGAUAAUGACGGUAGCGUGAGAAGAAGCCCCGGCUAACUUCGUGCCAGCAGCCGCGGUAAUACGAAGGGGGCUAGCGUUGUUCGGAAUCACUGGGCGUAAAGGGUGCGUAGGCGGGCAUUUAAGUCAGGGGUGAAAUCCCGAGGCUCAACCUCGGA